This 465-nucleotide ribosomal RNA is filed under the name uncultured bacterium. RNAcentral describes it as "partial 16S ribosomal RNA". It matches the Rfam family "Bacterial small subunit ribosomal RNA", at positions 339 to 795 of the family's 1533-position model. The record is from RNAcentral.
CUACGGGUCGCAGCAGUGGGGAAUAUUGCACAAUGGGCGCAAGCCUGAUGCAGCCAUGCCGCGUGUAUGAAGAAGGCCUUCGGGUUGUAAAGUACUUUCAGCGGGGAGGAAGGGAGUAAAGUUAAUACCUUUGCUCAUUGACGUUACCCGCAGAAGAAGCACCGGCUAACUCCGUGCCAGCGAGCCGCGGUAAUACGGAGGGUGCAAGCGUUAAUCGGAAUUACUGGGCGUAAAGCGCACGCAGGAGGUUUGUUAAGUCAGAUGUGAAAUCCCCGGGCUCAACCUGGGAACUGCAUCUGAUACUGGCAAGCUCGAGUCUCGUAGAGGGGGGUAGAAUUCCAGGUGUAGCGGCGAAAUGCGCAGAGAUCUGGAGGAAUACCGGUGGCGAAGGCGGCCCCCUGGACGAAGACUGACGCUCAGGUGCGAAAGCGUGGGGAGCAAACAGGAUUAGAUACCCGCGUAGUC